This 70-nucleotide transfer RNA is filed under the name Asterorhombus intermedius (intermediate flounder). RNAcentral describes it as "tRNA-Trp". It matches the Rfam family "tRNA". From Rfam's summary of the family: Transfer RNA (tRNA) molecules are approximately 80 nucleotides in length. Lineage: Eukaryota; Metazoa; Chordata; Actinopteri; Pleuronectiformes; Bothidae. The record is from RNAcentral.
AGAGGCUUAGGAUUAAGUAAACCAGGGGCCUUCAAAGUCCCUAUUGGGGGUUAGACCCCCUCAGCUUCUG